ACCGAGCGAAGCUGGUGCCAAGCCGUCCGCGGUGGCACCGGCAUCGCCGUCCUCGCCCUCCUAACCUCAAAACCCCCCGAUAUCCCCAAGCUCCAAACCUCCCUCCGCACCCUCCAAACCUCCCACCCAAUCCUCAGUUCCCGACUCCAAACCAACGCAACCACAUUCUCCUUCCUCACCUCCCCAACCCCCUCCAUCAAAAUCUUAACACUCACGCUCCCUACUAACCUCACCGACCCCCUGACCCAGAUCCUCGAACUCGAGCUCAACCGUAA
RNAcentral lists this long non-coding RNA (275 nucleotides) under Glycine max (soybean). Its description in RNAcentral is "long non-coding RNA (GMAX_LNC000424)". The record is from RNAcentral. Lineage: Eukaryota; Viridiplantae; Streptophyta; Magnoliopsida; Fabales; Fabaceae.